RNAcentral lists this ribosomal RNA (465 nucleotides) under uncultured bacterium. Its description in RNAcentral is "partial 16S ribosomal RNA". It matches the Rfam family "Bacterial small subunit ribosomal RNA", at positions 28 to 507 of the family's 1533-position model. The record is from RNAcentral.
GACGAACGCUGGCGGCGUGCUUAACACAUGCAAGUCGAGCGGUAAGGCCCCCUCGGGGGUACACGAGCGGCGAACGGGUGAGUAACACGUGAGCAAUCUGCCCAUCACAUCGGGAUAACUCCGGGAAACCGAAGCUAAUACCGAAUACGACCACCUCCGGCAUCGGAUGGUGGUGGAAAGUUCCGGCGGUGAUGGAUGAGCUCGCGGCCUAUCAGCUUGUUGGUGGGGUAACGGCCCACCAAGGCUUCGACGGGUAGCCGGCCUGAGAGGGUGACCGGCCACACUGGGACUGAGACACGGCCCAGACUCCUACGGGAGGCAGCAGUGGGGAAUAUUGGACAAUGGGCGAAAGCCUGAUCCAGCAACGCCGCGUGAGGGAUGACGGCCUUCGGGUUGUAAACCUCUUUCAGCAGGGACGAAGCGCAAGUGACGGUACCUGCAGAAGAAGCACCGGCCAACUACGUG